AUUGAACGCUGGCGGCAGGCCUAACACAUGCAAGUCGAACGGUAACAGGAAGACGCUUGCUUCUUUGCUGACGAGUGGCGGACGGGUGAGUAAUGUCUGGGAAACUGCCUGAUGGAGGGGGAUAACUACUGGAAACGGUAGCUAAUACCGCAUAACGUCGCAAGACCAAAGAGGGGGACCUUCGGGCCUCUUGCCAUCGGAUGUGCCCAGACGGGAUUAGCUAGUAGGUGGGGUAACGGCUCACCUAGGCGACGAUCCCUAGCUGGUCUGAGAGGAUGACCAGCCACACUGGAACUGGGACACGGUCCAGACUCCUACGGGAGGCAGCAGUGGGGAAUAUUGCACAAUGGGCGCAAGCCUGAUGCAGCCAUGCCGCGUGUAUGAAGAAGGCCUUCGGGUUGUAAAGUACUUUCAGCGGGGAGGAAGGGAGUAAAGUUAAUACCUUUGCUCAUUGACGUUACCCGCAGAAGAAGCACCGGCUAACUCCGUG
RNAcentral lists this ribosomal RNA (490 nucleotides) under uncultured bacterium. Its description in RNAcentral is "partial 16S ribosomal RNA". It matches the Rfam family "Bacterial small subunit ribosomal RNA", at positions 30 to 507 of the family's 1533-position model. The record is from RNAcentral.